AUUGAACGCUGGCGGCAUGCCUUACACAUGCAAGUCGAACGGCAGCACGGGAGCAAUCCUGGUGGCGAGUGGCGAACGGGUGAGUAAUAUAUCGGAACGUGCCCGGUCGUGGGGAUAACGUAGCGAAAGCUACGCUAAUACCGCAUACGAUCUAUGGAUGAAAGCGGGGGAUCGCAAGACCUCGCGCGAUUGGAGCGGCCGAUAUCAGAUUAGCUAGUUGGUGAGGUAAAGGCUCACCAAGGCGACGAUCUGUAGCUGGUCUGAGAGGACGACCAGCCACACUGGGACUGAGACACGGCCCAGACUCCUACGGGAGGCAGCAGUGGGGAAUUUUUGGACAAUGGGCGCAAGCCUGAUCCAGCAAUGCCGCGUGCAGGAUGAAGGCCUUCGGUUGUAACGUAGCUUUUGUUACGGUAACGAAACCGGUAGGAGGACUCUAACUACAGCUUGCUAAUGACGGUACCGUAAGAAUAAG
Molecule: ribosomal RNA, 475 nt
Filed under: uncultured bacterium
Lineage: Bacteria
Description: bacterial SSU rRNA
Rfam family: Bacterial small subunit ribosomal RNA
Source: RNAcentral